Long non-coding RNA from Rhipicephalus sanguineus (brown dog tick), 686 nucleotides. RefSeq lists it as uncharacterized. The record is from RefSeq and is a predicted model, not a curated record. Lineage: Eukaryota; Metazoa; Arthropoda; Arachnida; Ixodida; Ixodidae. The transcript has 3 exons.
UGGCCGAGGAAGGCGACCGACUGCGCUGUCGGUGCAGCCUGUGGGUGUUGUGCGGCCUUCGGUUUUUCGCGAGUGGCAGCCUUCAAGCCUCGUUUGGAAGCGAGGAUACUAUUGUCAUCAUGCAAGCUGCGGUGAGCAGACUGUGUGCGAUGUUGUGGCGGAGGUAAUCGUGCACGCCGGGAUCCGUAACAAGUGGGUUCACUUGCCGUGGACGCCAGAUGAAAAGGGGGCCUUGAAUGUUUCCUACGGCUGCCGGCGUCAUCGGAUGCGUGGACGGCAGCGUUGCCGUCAUCAUUGCACCGAAGGGCGACGAUCACAAGGCGGCAUUUUAUCCCCGCAAGGGACAUUAUGCCCACAUCGUCAUGCUAAUCUGCGACGAAGACAUGGGAAUCCUGCCGUGAACCACUGCGUCUGGGGUCAGACUACGACGCCCACGUCUGGUGGACAACGCGGCUGCGUGAGCGCAUCGAAGGGGCCCGGAUUGCCGCGGCCGUACCUUCUGGCCUCUAGGUGACAGAGGCUACAAACCAGGACCAUGGCUCCUGACACCUCUCCGAGGCUGUCCUCCCAGAAACGCUGUUAAAAAGGCAAGUGCUACACUGCACAUGCUGCAAUGCAGUCUGUAAUGAAGCGUUGUGCUGGGCUAUUGAGGAGCUGCUUCCGCUGCGUUCAGCAGUGCAGUUGUA